CGCCCCGUGGAACCAGAGAACACUAGAGACACACAGACCUAUCUGUGGCACUCUACGCUAAAGUUUCCCCUUCUCUCCGCCUGGAGUUGUAAGUGGUUUCUGAUUGAACACAGCUGUCUUGCUGCUGGCGAAAGGUUUCAUCUACAGUGUACCCUCAUGUGGCUUUGGAGUCCAAAGGCUGAGGCACAGAGUUUGUGGCACAUGGGGCAUGGGAUGCCAGUUGUUACGGGAAGUGCAGUUGUGGCCUGGUGUCGGCGUUCACGUGCAGCAGCAAGAUGUUGACGUCGCUCAUCUUCAAAGGAACAAUAAAGUGGAGGAAUUCCAUGGAGUCUGGAACAACCUCCAGGAAGUGAUGCAGAGCGAAAGGAGCAGAACCAGGAAAACAUUGUACACAGAGACUGAUACACUGUGGUACAAUCAAAGGAAAUAAUUCAAAGAUGACCUUCAGAAAAACAAAAGCAAUUCAAUUCAGGAGCAAGUUCUGUAAUCUAUGAAAGAAGAACUUUAGAAAAUAAAGGAAAAUGCAUGAAAAUAAUUCAAGACUAUUCUGCACCCACUAGGAAACAUAAGAGGGAAUAAAAUAAUGUAUUCUGAAAAGGGAUGGAGUUUAAGAUGCAACUGGAAUGCAUUACUCUGCAAAUCUGAGUUUAGCCUUACAUGAAAAAGAUGUAUAUUGAAAAAUAAAGAGUUUAAAACAUUUUAAGAAAGAAAAUUAAAACCAAAGUGAUUACAGGCCUCUUAAAUACUCCAAACAAUAGAAAUUCAGGAGAAGUGAAUACAUUUAACAGUGAGGGACAAAACCAAAUGAUCAUCUCAACAGAUGAAGAAAAAGUAUUUUCCAGAGUAAAAGGCAUAAUUUUAAAAGCCCUAAAAAGUAUAAGAAAAGAGGGAUUGUCCCUUAAUAUCAUAAAAAUAUUCUAUCUUAAAGCAAAAUUGGACAUCAUGUGUAAUAGGAGUAGGUUAGAAUCCAACAAAUAUAGGAGUAAAGCCUAUAUUCUCACUCUUCCCAUUAUUAUUUGACAUAAUGUUGGAAAUGUUAGCAAUAGCAAUAAGACAAGAGAAAGAAACUGAAGGAAUACAGAUAGGUAAAGAGCAAAUAAAACUAUUGUUUGAUAAAGAUGUGAUAGUUGAAAGAACCUAGGAAAUCAGCAAAGAUGCAAAUUAAGACAAUAGCUUCAACAGAACAGAGAAAACAAAAGAGAUUCUCAAAAAUUGACGUUUUUGUAAAAGGAUAACAAAGCAUGAUGCUAUAAUAGAAUUCCCAUUUCAAGUAACUAUGAAAUGCAUAAAAUAUCUGGGAACCAUCCAAAGGCACACAAAAGUCUUGUAUAUAUUCAGAAGUGCUAUUUAAAGAAAUAAAGAAUAUUUGAAAUACUUAAUGGCAAGGUUAUGCCAAUUCAAUGACAAUUGAUGACGAAUAGUAACUUACAAUUUUAAUAUUUUAGCAAUCAAAUUACCAAGAGAAUACUUCACAGAACUUUAUGAAAUAAUCAUAAAAUUCAUUUGGAAAAAUAAAAAUAGAAAGGGAAAUUCUAAAAAUAAGUAGAGAUGAAGGGGGAGUAGCAAGCACUCCCAGACCUCAUGAUAUAUUGAAAAGCGAUAUUAAUCAAAACCAUCUAGUACUGGUUAAAGAAGAAAAAGAUCAAUGAAACAUAUGAGACAAGGAGAUUCAGAAACAACAGAACUCAAUAAUUCAGUAUUUGAUAAAGUGGAAAACAUAAAUUACCUAGGGGGAAAAACUCUAAAUUUGAUUAAAAUUGUUGGGAAAGCUGAAAAACUGUCUGGAAGACAUUAGACUUAGACCUAUGCCAUAUUCCACGAUAUUCUAAAUGAAUCUAUAACCUUAACAUUAAAGAUCAUACUAUAUAAAAUAAGAAAACAGAUCAUAUAAGUCUCACAGUUAUAUAUAGGAAGUAUAUUUUUAAUUAAAGAAGUGAUAGAGGUAAUUACAAAAAAUCUAAUAGAUACUUUGGUUAUUUGAAAUUGAAAAGUUUCCACACGGACAUUAAUGCAUCUAGGAUAAGAAAGGAAGAGGUUGAAUGGGAAAAAAAUUCAUAAUUUUUAAUUUCUUUGAAAAGAAUUUGGUAAUCAAUAUAUAUAAACAAAAGCAAUAUUAACUACUGUAAUAGACAUUCUUUUUUUUUUCAGAUAUGGAACAGGUAAUUUAUUCCUACACACAAAAGGAAUACUAAACACAUACUCCUACUGGCAAACUUUUACAGAGCAAUGGACCCAGUAGCUUAAUUUAUAACUACUGUUGCAGUCUUCUGGGAGGAUAUUCUUUUUAUUGUUUUUUUAAUAUGUAUUUUAUUUUCCCAAUUAUAUGUAAUAAAAAUUUUCAACAAAUUUUCCAAAA
Molecule: non-coding RNA, 2356 nt
Organism: Monodelphis domestica (gray short-tailed opossum)
Lineage: Eukaryota; Metazoa; Chordata; Mammalia; Didelphimorphia; Didelphidae
Source: RefSeq, a predicted model, not a curated record